RNAcentral lists this ribosomal RNA (254 nucleotides) under uncultured bacterium. Its description in RNAcentral is "partial 16S ribosomal RNA". It matches the Rfam family "Bacterial small subunit ribosomal RNA", at positions 524 to 777 of the family's 1533-position model. The record is from RNAcentral.
UACGAAGGGGGCUAGCGUUGUUCGGAGUUACUGGGCGUAAAGGGCGCGUAGGCGGCGCACCAAGUCAGGCGUGAAAGCCCUGGGCUCAACCCGGGAAUUGCGCUUGAGACUGGUGUGCUUGAGUACGGGAGAGGAUAGUGGAAUUCCCAGUGUAGAGGUGAAAUUCGUAGAUAUUGGGAAGAACACCGGUGGCGAAGGCGGCUAUCUGGACCGUAACUGACGCUGAGGCGCGAAAGCGUGGGGAGCAAACAGGG